GUGCCAGCAGCCGCGGUAAUACAGAGGUCCCAAGCGUUGUUCGGAUUCACUGGGCGUAAAGGGUGCGUAGGUGGUCGGGUAAGUCUGAUGUGAAAUCUUCGAGCUCAACUCGAAAAUGGCAUUGGAUACUAUUCGGCUGGAGGGUUGGAAGGGGGACUGGAAUUCUCGGUGUAGCAGUGAAAUGCGUAGAUAUCGAGAGGAACACCGGUGGCGAAGGCGAGUCCCUGGACAAUUCCUGACACUGAGGCACGAAAGCUAGGGGAGCAAACAGGAUUAGAUACCCUUGUAGUCC
RNAcentral lists this ribosomal RNA (292 nucleotides) under uncultured bacterium. RNAcentral's name for it is "partial 16S ribosomal RNA". It matches the Rfam family "Bacterial small subunit ribosomal RNA", at positions 505 to 796 of the family's 1533-position model. The record is from RNAcentral.